This 253-nucleotide ribosomal RNA is filed under the name uncultured bacterium. Its description in RNAcentral is "partial 16S ribosomal RNA". It matches the Rfam family "Bacterial small subunit ribosomal RNA", at positions 524 to 776 of the family's 1533-position model. The record is from RNAcentral.
CACGGGGGGAGCAAGCGUUGUUCGGAAUCACUGGGCGUAAAGGACGUGUAGGCGGUCAGGUAAGUGGGACGUGAAAUGCCUCGGCUCACCCGAGGAGCGGCGUCCCAUACUGCUUGGCUUGAGUACGGGAGAGGAUGUGGGAAUUCCUGGUGUAGCGGUGAAAUGCGUAGAUAUCAGGAGGAACACCGGUGGCGAAGGCGCACAUCUGGCCCGAUACUGACGCUGAGGCGCGAAAGCUAGGGGAGCAAACGGG